AAAUAUGAAGUAACUUUUACAUCUAGUUUCGACCUAGAAUUAUGAUGAAACUCAUCCUUAUUUA
This 64-nucleotide transfer RNA is filed under the name Sinopyrophorus schimmeli. RNAcentral's name for it is "Elateridae sp. JWH-2018 tRNA-Arg". Lineage: Eukaryota; Metazoa; Arthropoda; Insecta; Coleoptera; Elateridae. The record is from RNAcentral.